RNAcentral lists this ribosomal RNA (322 nucleotides) under uncultured eukaryote. RNAcentral describes it as "partial 18S ribosomal RNA". It matches the Rfam family "Eukaryotic small subunit ribosomal RNA", at positions 1470 to 1796 of the family's 1831-position model. The record is from RNAcentral.
CCCUUAGAUGUUCUGGGCCGCACGCGUGCUACACUGAGUAAUUCAAUGGGUAAGGGAACGCUAGAGCAUUACCUAAUCUUGAAAUUUGCUCGUGAUGGGGAUCGACGGUUGCAAUUUUCCGUCGUGAACGAGGAAUACCUUGUAGGCGCAUGUCAUCAUCAUGCGCCGAAUACGUCCCUGCCCUUUGUACACACCGCCCGUCGCUCCUACCGAUUGAGUGAUCCGGUGAGGCUCUGGGACCUGGACGGAAAGAGCGUUUCGCUUGUUCUGUUUGGGAAACUUGGUCGAACCUUCUCAUUUAGAGGAAGGAGAAGUCGUAACA